UUUCACGGUGCUACAACACAACGUUUCUCGAAGUCACGGUUAAUGGCGCUCAAAGCGAGCGAAAUAAAGAAGAUUAAGCACCCGUCGAAACUCUCUGUCUCGUUUGUCGACGCCAAGGGGCUGCUACAUGUUUGAAAGCAUAUGGGAGGGGUCACUAAUGAGAAGCCAUUAUUGUUGCAUGCUUGUGUUUGUUUCUGUCACAAACAGCCUGUUGCAGUAUAUGUGCCAAAUGUAUUUUACAUUGUAUCUUAUUUCAAGCUCAUUUACUUUUCUCAUUUAGGCCUUCUAUAGUUUUGAAAAUGACCAACAAAUAUGAAAUGUUUCUGGUCAUGCUAUUUUUGGAAAACAGCCUGUUAUGUCAAAACAUAUGGCAUAACAGCAAGAGAUGGAACUGUGUUCUGCAGUCUCGGUGCCCCCUAUUGAAUCCUGUUAGUAAAUAUGUAUAUGUAUUCUAGGCUAAUAAAUGCAUAAAUAGAGAUCCUUUCCUUUUGUAUUAAAAAGAUGUAAUGACAGAUCAGACAAUCAGCUUUAUGAGGUGCAGAAAACAUUAGAGAAAUAAGAGUUAUGAAUUAUGACUAGAUGAAAUUCACACUAUUGUUAAAGGUGAUCACUAAUGUAUUUGCUCUGCACUCAAACUUUAAAUUGUAAACAAUUUACUAAAUGUUAAACUGAAUAAUUUUAUAGUUACUGUUAUUUUGUAAGAAGUUUAAUUGCAUAUUGUAUUAUUUUACUUUUUAUUUUUAUAUAUUUUUUAUUUAAUGAAUAUUGUCGUUGAUGCUGAUAUGGCAUUAAAAAAUAAACUUGAAACAAUUUUGCUUUACCAAUUAGUUUUCAUGUAACUUUGCAAUGAAUAUCAUAACAGGGUACAAUAAAGGACAAAAUACAGAUAUAUACAAAGCAAGCAAGAAAGAAAAUAAAGCCUCAAUGACAAAGAAUAAAACAAAAAGGAAGCUGGAGUUGGACAAAGGCAGGAGCAUCUGGCUGCAGAGAAAAAGAAAACAAGGGAGACGCUUUUGUGAGGAGAGGGUGCGGAGCUUCGCAGAGGAUUGCUCCAGUAGUAUGACCUGGAUUUCUCCCGAUAAGUUGACCUAAAUAUUUCUACGGUAUUCUGAUAUAUUUUUCUUUUUACGUAAUAUAGAAGGAAUGCUCCUUAUAUCAUUCUCUUUGCUAAGUGAGUCUGUUUCUGGCUUUCCCAGCUCUAGGCCCAUGCUGUGCACAGUUGGGGGGCCUGAAGCUCCAGCAGCCACUUAUUUAGGGAAAGAAAAGCGAAAUCUUCAGUCUUCCAGCCUCAUUUUCUUCUUACAAAACCACAGAGGACUGAACACAGUCUUGGUCUGCUUAUCAAUUUUCUUUUAACAUCAUUAUAUGUCCUUCUGGACCCAGACGUCAACCCUGGAUCAGGAGAUUCCAGUUUGAGUUAAUCGAUAUGCGAAAAUUCCAGCCAUGACAACUAGCUGGGAAUAGUAUAUAUUUCUGAGCAGGAGAUGAAGAUCUGAGGUAUGUAAAAGUUAGGGUUUGGUCAUAAUUAAUUCUGUGUACGCUGGUCUAGCAAGAAACAAUUCCCAUUUAAAUUCAUUAUAGAGGCAUAAUGAUGGCUUGAUAAACACUUUAUGAUCAAAUGAGAGGUUUAAAGAGAUUCGUCAUAAUUCGAUCAAUGCGGUUCCUGAGGUAGAAAUUGUACAGCAUAUAGGAGCUGGUCAAUAUUUAGCUCACCUCUCUGGGUGUGCGGUAUAACAGCAGCUUUGUGGUGAAAUAUAAUUUAAAGUCUGCAUAUGUUCAUAUUUUCAGAUUCUGCUCUGUGCUAAUAUUGGCUCGAGUUCAAAUCCUUGCCAUAGCGGAGAGUCUGGGAUACUUGGUUUGGUGGGAAGCCAGUGCUGAAAAUGCCAUAAUAGUCACUGCGGGCCUAGCUGCAGCUACAUUUACAACCUAUUCAGAACAUGUGAAUAUGGGUUUGAAUACAGGCUAAAUUGUUUGAAAUUUCUCUUGUCUAAAUUUGUGAUUUAGAAAUCAACCCUAAAAAAUAACACACUUCCCUCAGCUCAACAUGACAAAAGAAUUGUUACUGCAUCUUUCAUCCAUCUGAGUGCAAUAUACUCAAAGUGUAAAUGUAAGUCUUUUUAGUAUCUUUGUACUGUUAGAUUUAACACAAGCAAGGGCAUGAAAUGGGCUGUUUCGUUGCAGCUUAGGAUGAUUACAAGGCUUUAGUAGAUGAGGUGAGAAGUGCAAACUGUUAUUAGAUGAAAGACAAUUUAUAAUCCCUUGUAUCCGUCUAGAAGGAAUGCAAGAGCACUGGUAUUAGACAGACUGGCAUGAAACACAGGCCUAAACAGGAGCUCUAUGAGUAUUAAACUGUAAAUUCUUGCAUAUCCCUUUCAGUAUAAUAUGACUUCAUUCUGUGUGUUAAUCUGAACAAUUAUUACAUUUCCAUCUUGAUGUAAUUUGCUGCUGAUGAACUGAUUUCAUAAUCAGAAAAUGUAUUGGUCUGUGGCAGACAAUGUAACUUGGUGUGAUUCUGGAGACAGACCUUAGUUUCAGUAGUCAUGUCAAAGCAGUACCUAAAUCAGCAUACUAUCAUCUCAAAAACAUUGCUAGAAUUAGAUGUUUUGUUUCCAGUCAAGACUUGGAGAAACUUGUUCAUGCCUUUAUCUCCAGCAGGGUGGACUAUUGUUAUGGUCUCCUCACCGGCCUUCCCAAAAAGACCAUUAGACAGCUGCAGCUCAUCCAGAGCGCAGCUGCCAGGAUUCUGACUAGAACCAGAAAAUCUGAGCACAUCACACCAGUCCUCAGGUCCUUACACUGGCUUCAGUUACAGUAUAUUAAGGAUUGAUUUUAAAGUACUUUUACUUGUUUAUAAACCAAUCAAUAGCCUAGGACCUAAAUACAUAGCUGAUAUGCUCACUGAAUGUAAGCCUAACAGACCACCCAGAAAUACCAAGGGUUCACACAAAACAAGGGGAGUCCGCUUUUUAGCUAUUAUGCCGCCCGCAGUUGGAACCAGCUUCCUGAAGAGAGCAGAUGUGCUAAAACAUUAGUCAUAUUUAAAUGCAGACUCAAAACUCAUCUGUUUAGCUGUGCAUUUAUUGAAUGAGCACUGUGCUACGUCCGAACUGAUAACAUUGUAUUUUAUAUAUAAUAAUUUCCUAUAUUUAACUGUUUUAAAUUCAUUUUAAAUCAAUUUGUAAAUCAUUUAAAAGUUUUAUAUUCCUUGUUUUAUUGUUGUGAUUACUUUUUAUGAAUAUUUUACUUUCUUUUAUGUAAAGCACUUGGAAUUACCAUUGUUUAUGAAAUGUGCUAUAUAAAUAAACUUGCCUACCUAAUACAUGUUUAAAAAUAUCUUUAUACAUUAGGUUUU
Long non-coding RNA from Cyprinus carpio carpio, 3352 nucleotides. Lineage: Eukaryota; Metazoa; Chordata; Actinopteri; Cypriniformes; Cyprinidae. The record is from Ensembl.